RNAcentral lists this transfer RNA (69 nucleotides) under Anacanthotermes sp. Its description in RNAcentral is "tRNA-Phe". Lineage: Eukaryota; Metazoa; Arthropoda; Insecta; Blattodea; Hodotermitidae. The record is from RNAcentral.
ACUUAAAUAGCUUAUAUUUAGAGCUUGGCACUGAAGAUGCCGUUGAGGUUAUUAUUUUACCUUUAAGUA